RNAcentral lists this ribosomal RNA (253 nucleotides) under uncultured bacterium. RNAcentral describes it as "partial 16S ribosomal RNA". It matches the Rfam family "Bacterial small subunit ribosomal RNA", at positions 524 to 776 of the family's 1533-position model. The record is from RNAcentral.
UACGAAGGGGGCUAGCGUUGUUCGGAAUUACUGGGCGUAAAGCGCGCGCAGGCGGUUCGAUAAGUUGGGGGUGAAAUCCCCGGGCUCAACCCGGGAAUUGCCUUCAAGACUGUCGAGCUAGAGGACGAGAGAGGUGAGUGGAAUUCCCAGUGUAGAGGUGAAAUUCGUAGAUAUUGGGAAGAACACCGGUGGCGAAGGCGGCUCACUGGCUCGUUUCUGACGCUGAGGCGCGAAAGCGUGGGGAUCAAACAGG